AAAAACCAUGGAUGCCAGUAGAACCUGGAAACCCUACAUGGAGCAUAGUGUUAUGUGGAAAGGCUUUUGGAGCUCAUCCCAUUAGGAAGAAAGGAACCUCAAGUCUAAAAGCUCAAUCUUAUGGAGAGUUGAGUGGAGUGGCAAAGUAAUUACAUGGUGGAAGAGCCAAGUCAUAACUGGAUGAGGACAAUCAAUCUGAAGUCUCAGACCAGCCUGCAAAAUCCAACAAGUUCUUGUUAAUAACAAAGAUAAUUAACAACUACAGAGCUUACUGAUGCACA
Molecule: long non-coding RNA, 281 nt
Filed under: Homo sapiens (human)
Lineage: Eukaryota; Metazoa; Chordata; Mammalia; Primates; Hominidae
Description: HSALNT0219873
Source: RNAcentral